AGCCAAGUGAAACUCGUAUAAAAUAAAAAUCUCAAUAUCUUAAUAAAUACUUCUUGCUUUUUCAUAAAACUUAACCCAUGGCACCUUCUGUUGCAAAGCUGUCUUGAAAUGUAUUCAAUUUGGUUGUCACUUGCAAUGUCUUGCAGCAGCAAUGUGCAUAAUACACUUGCAGGACUGCACAGCUGCAGGUCUAAUACAACAAUAAAAUGACAUUUGUCGUAUACCUACAGAUAGUUGAACGUCAUGGGUACAACUAUUUGUUUUGUUCCUAGCAAUUAUAUGCGUCUUUUUUCUAUAGUUGUAUGUUUUUCACCACCUAGGCAUGUUUGCUAUGCGAAAUCGGUGGGCUGCCAUUCUCAUGAUUCCGGAAUUGAAAACUAUUGAAUAUUUCUGUUAUCUGUUGUCUCUAGUGCCCCAAUUACACAAAGCAAUUGUAGAGAGAUAUCUCUUAAAACAUGUCCAUGUGUUGAAAGUAUCGAUCGACAUAUUUAAUACUGUUUUUUUUAAGAGUUACAUAGAUGUUUACAUCAUAUCAUAGAAUGCUCCUUCCUGGAUUUUACAAUGGACCUGAUAAAUCAAUACGCGCCCAGUUUUAGCAGUUCCGAUUGAAGUUAACCCCUGUUAUUUCUUUUGCAGGUAAGGCUAUAAAAUAUUUUUGUUAAAUAAGUAUAUUAAUCCUACAGGUACAGUGCGAUGUCAAAAAAUUUUAAACACUAUUGCACGAAAAUAAAGAACUAUAUUCGCUAUGCGUAGUUUAUUUCUGAAGUCUGUCAUGCGAUAUUCGGCUAAAGUGAAAGUAGGAGUUGAAUGCCUUGUUUCACUAAAAAGAACAUUGCUCAGAUAUUUCUCUGGACUACCAAUUUAUGUACUUCAUGUGAUGCCUGCGUUGCAGCCCUCCCAAGAACCCCCCUUGUAGGUGUUCUAUAAUAAGAUUUCAAAGAUAAAGAGGAAAUGGUUCUAAUGAUAGAGAUUGUCCAUGUUGGUUUGUCUCAAUCUUUUGGAAAACAGUGAGAAAAUAUCAGCAGCAAAUGAAGACUCUGAUCUAAUUUAUUACUAUGUGACUUGAAAAUUAUUUGAUUUUAUGGUAGUAUUUACACAUGUGUUGAACU
Molecule: long non-coding RNA, 1109 nt
Organism: Saccostrea cuccullata (small rock oyster)
Lineage: Eukaryota; Metazoa; Mollusca; Bivalvia; Ostreida; Ostreidae
Exons: 3
Source: RefSeq, a predicted model, not a curated record